GAUGAACGCUGGCGGCGUGCCUAAUACAUGCAAGUAGAACGCUGAAGCAGGAGCUUGCUUCUUUGGAUGAGUUCCGAACGGGUGAGUAUCGCGUAGGUAACCUGCCUGUUAGCGGGGGAUAACUAUUGGAAACGAUAGCUAAUACCGCAUAAUAUUAGAUGUUGCAUGACAUUUGCUUAAAAGGUGCAAUUGCAUCACUACCAGAUGGUCCUGCGUUGGAUUAGGUAGUUGGUGAGGUAACGGCUCACCAAGGCGACGAUACAUAGCCGACCUGAGAGGGUGGAUAGGCAAACUGGGAAUGGAACACGGGCCAGAAUCCUAAGGGGGGGAGCAAUAGGGAAACUUUGGGAAAGGGGGGAAAGCUGGACGAGCAACGGCGGCGGGAGGGAGGAAGUUUUCGGGACGGAAAGAUCCGUUUUAAGGGAAGGAAGAAAGGGAGAGUUAAAAGUGCACGUUGUGACGGUAUCUUACCAGAAAGGGACGGCUAACUACGUG
This 495-nucleotide ribosomal RNA is filed under the name uncultured bacterium. RNAcentral's name for it is "partial 16S ribosomal RNA". It matches the Rfam family "Bacterial small subunit ribosomal RNA", at positions 28 to 507 of the family's 1533-position model. The record is from RNAcentral.